UUUGGAAUAUUGGCAAAAUAUAUUAUUUUCCUAAAUAUUUGUAAAUAACGGGGUUGACAGUGUUUAAACAGGG
Molecule: non-coding RNA, 73 nt
Organism: Pangasianodon gigas (Mekong giant catfish)
Lineage: Eukaryota; Metazoa; Chordata; Actinopteri; Siluriformes; Pangasiidae
Source: the annotation of a GenBank genome assembly